UUACUCAUUUUCUAUUUAUUUGUUGGUUUGAUUACCUUUUUUCAGGGUGCUACCUAAGUCAAGGAAAAAGAAUGUGAAAUAGUAAGGAGAGGAAAAAUUUAUGAUUUUAAAGUUUCAGAGCUUCUACGGUUAAACUACACAACAUUCUUAUAUUUAUUUGUUCAGAAUUUUCUUUUAUAUGAAUGUUCUGUUGUGUUUCUGCCUGUUUGUUUUUCUGAUUUUUGUCCCUAAUUUUUGCAGGAUUCAUUGCUAAGGUAUUGGUUGUUACAAAUAUGCAGUAGUUGGAUGGAUCUGAAUAUGAUGAUAUUGGCUGUAAGUUUAAAAUACAUCUCUGUACUCGGUAGUUCUUAUUUCCUUAUUGGAUUUGCUAUUUACUAUAAUGAUAUAAGUCAAAUUAGUUAAUAAUAAUUGGGAACCUUUAUUUUUUAUACUGAUUUAUUUUCUUAUUAUCUAUAUAUGUUUUAUAUGAUGAUUAGCCAUUGUGAACACACUGCAGAUUUAAUUUCGUGGAAUGCAGUAAAAUAUUAGAUCCAAUUUUAUAUUUGCAGUUUCAAAGUUGUUUAGGUUUGCUGUUGGAAUAUCUUUUUGUGGACUUUUACAUGUAACAUGUAAUCAACCCAUCAACCCAGGGUAGUUGGCCUUAGUUUAAGGAUGAGAAUUUGAACUACGUUUUAAUUAAGUUUUAAGUUAAUAUUUGUUUUCUAUGUCCCAUUUGCUAUUUUGUAGUCACAACAUGUCUAUUUUCUUAAUUACCAACUUCAUGAUAACAAAACAAUCUCCAUCAAUAACACUUUUAUUUGGUGCUGGUUUUGAUGGACACAUAAGUGAGUUUUUAUCGUACAA
Molecule: long non-coding RNA, 843 nt
Filed under: Trifolium pratense (red clover)
Lineage: Eukaryota; Viridiplantae; Streptophyta; Magnoliopsida; Fabales; Fabaceae
Description: long non-coding RNA (TPRA_LNC008478)
Source: RNAcentral